RNAcentral lists this ribosomal RNA (319 nucleotides) under uncultured bacterium. RNAcentral's name for it is "bacterial SSU rRNA". It matches the Rfam family "Bacterial small subunit ribosomal RNA", at positions 479 to 793 of the family's 1533-position model. The record is from RNAcentral.
CUGCAGAAGAAGCACCGGCUAACUCCGUGCCAGCAGCCGCGGUAAUACGGAGGGUGCGAGCGUUAAUCGGAAUUACUGGGCGUAAAGCGCAUGCUAGGUGGUUUGUUAAGUCAGAUGUGAAAGCCCGGGGCUCAACCUCGGAAUUGCAUUUGAAACUGGCAAACUAGAGUACUGUAGAGGGGGUAGAAUUUCAGGUGUAGCGGUGAAAUGCGUAGAGAUCUGAAGGAAUACCGGUGGCGAAGGCGGCCCCCCUGGACAGAUACUGACACUCAGAUGCGAAAGCGGUGGGGAGACAAACAGGAUUAGACUACCCUGGUAG